This 408-nucleotide ribosomal RNA is filed under the name uncultured bacterium. Its description in RNAcentral is "partial 16S ribosomal RNA". It matches the Rfam family "Bacterial small subunit ribosomal RNA", at positions 28 to 526 of the family's 1533-position model. The record is from RNAcentral.
GACGAACGCUUGCGGCGUGCUUAACACAUGCAAGUCGAACGAAGUUGCGAACGGGUGAGUAACGCGUAAUCAACCUGCCCUUCAGAGGGGGACAACAGUUGGACACGACUGCUAAUACCGCUUACUUAUGGAUGGGAUUGCGUCUGAUUAGCUAGUUGGAGGGGUAACGGCCCACCAAGGCGAUGAGCAGGAGCCGGUCUGAGAGGAUGAACGGGCACAUUGGGACUGGGACACGGCCCAGACGCCUACGGGAGGCAGCAGUGGGGAAUCUUCCGCAAUGGACGAAAGUCUGACGGAGCAACGCCGCGGGAGUGAUGACGGACUUCGGGUUGUAAAGCUCUGUUAAUCGGGACGCGGUACCGGAAUAGAAAGCCACGGCUAACUACGUGCCAGCAGCCGCGGUAAUUC